RNAcentral lists this ribosomal RNA (380 nucleotides) under uncultured eukaryote. RNAcentral describes it as "partial 18S ribosomal RNA". It matches the Rfam family "Eukaryotic small subunit ribosomal RNA", at positions 592 to 976 of the family's 1831-position model. The record is from RNAcentral.
CGAUAGCGUAUAUUAAAGUUGUUGCAGUUAAAAAGCUCGUAGUUGGAUUUGUGGCGUACGGUGUGUUCCGGGCACUUGUUGUCUGAGUAACCUGCUGUUGCCAUCCUUGGGUGGAACCUGUGUGGCAUUAGGUUGUCGUGCAGGGGAUGCCCAUCAUUUACUGUGAAAUAAUUAGAGUGUUCAAAGCAGGCUUAUGCCGUUGAAUAUAUUAGCAUGGAAUAAUGAGAUAGGACUUUUUUGCUAUUUUGUUGGUUUGCGCAAAGAGGUAAUGAUUAAUAGGGACAGUUGGGGGUAUUCGUAUUCCAUAGUCAGAGGUGAAAUUCUUGGAUUUUUGGAAGACGAACUACUGCGAAAGCAUUUACCAAGGAUGUUUUCAUUAA